This 594-nucleotide long non-coding RNA is filed under the name Hordeum vulgare. RNAcentral describes it as "long non-coding RNA (HVUL_LNC020134)". The record is from RNAcentral. Lineage: Eukaryota; Viridiplantae; Streptophyta; Magnoliopsida; Poales; Poaceae.
ACGAACUUCUGUGUACUAUGGAGAUAUAAAGUCUGCAAAAUAAAUAGAUUUUUCCAUUGACGAUCUGGAUUUCCAAUUUACUGCUUUCUUUUGUUCUAUUUUGGAUGAGAAUAAGCAUGCAUCCAAUUAUUCUUUUGCUCUAUCUUACAAAUUCGACGCACAUACCUUCCACCUGCAGCUCGUUCCUAUCAUCAGAUGGAGCGACCAAAUUAUCAGCUGAAUCUUUCUCCCCUUGUCCCAUUUAACUGAGGUGGGAAAUAAGUAUCGUAAAUAAACUGCACACAAGAGAAGGAAAAAGAAAAUUAGGGGGUUCUUUACGUUGGAGCUUCUUCAGAAACGGCUUAAGCUUAGCUACCCCACAGAUUCAGUGAUGGAAAAAAGACCCUGAGAAACUGCAGUCUAGUUCAUUUCGGCUUCUCUCCCCUCCGCGUACUUUAUUUGUGAGUUCUCGGAUGAAAAGUGUAAUGCCAGAUACCCUUGUACUGUAGUUGUCUAAUGUUUAACUUCUUUGUAAUCUUUUGCUAUGUUUAUUGUAGAUGUGAACAACAAAACACCUUACGGAGGCACAACACAUCAAGCAUAGCAAUAGAGGAG